Molecule: ribosomal RNA, 441 nt
Filed under: uncultured Hyphomicrobiales bacterium
Lineage: Bacteria; Pseudomonadati; Pseudomonadota; Alphaproteobacteria; Hyphomicrobiales
Description: bacterial SSU rRNA
Rfam family: Bacterial small subunit ribosomal RNA
Source: RNAcentral
UCCUACGGGGGGCUGCAGUGGGGAAUCUUGGACAAUGGGCGCAAGCCUGAUCCAGCCAUGCCGCGUGAGUGAAGAAGGCCUUAGGGUUGUAAAGCUCUUUUACCAGGGACGAUAAUGACGGUACCUGGAGAAUAAGCCCCGGCAAACUUCGUGCCAGCAGCCGCGGUAAUACGAAGGGGGCUAGCGUUGUUCGGAAUUACUGGGCGUAAAGCGCACGUAGGCGGGUCGUUAAGUCAGGGGUGAAAUCCCGGAGCUCAACUCCGGAACUGCCUUUGAUACUGGCGAUCUAGAGAUCGAGAGAGGUGAGUGGAAUUCCGAGUGUAGAGGUGAAAUUCGUAGAUAUUCGGAAGAACACCAGUGGCGAAGGCGGCUCACUGGCUCGAUACUGACGCUGAGGUGCGAAAGCGUGGGGAGCAAACAGGAUUAGAUACCCUAGUAGUC